CCCAACUCUCUCUGGUCUCAAUGACAGGACCAGGUAGAAGAACGACCUAGACUGAGCCAAUGAGCCUCUUCCAUUUGAAACCAUGGAGAAUACAGUCCAGGAGAGUCUUGAACUCGCUGAGUCUUUGACUGGAGUGUAUGUCAGGUAAGAAGCCAGGAAUUUUGUCUCAUUGCAAAACGGAAAAUCAGUCUUAUCAGCAACAAGAAGAAAAACGAGCAGCAUCAUAGGGAUAUGAGGGAGGAUGAGUGGUGGAGAGACAUGGAAAGAAAAUGCCUUGGGCUCCCAUCUCAGCUCAGGACUGUGGUUUAUUACCAUCCUGAGACCAAGAAGAACUCUGGCCAACCGCCUCCAAGAGCUACCAUCUCCUGAAAAUCAAUCCUUCUCUCCCUUUAUUCCCAAAGUUCCCCUCAUGGGGGUCUGUGCUAUUUGCAACCAAGGGAGUCCUGACUACAAAUCAAAAUACUAAAUAUUUUUUGAAAUCCAAAAAGAUAGAAAGAUGGUUUAAGGCUUAAUGAUUAGUUACUGCUGGUCUGGGUUUGGG
RNAcentral lists this long non-coding RNA (541 nucleotides) under Marmota monax (woodchuck). Lineage: Eukaryota; Metazoa; Chordata; Mammalia; Rodentia; Sciuridae. The record is from RNAcentral.